This 538-nucleotide ribosomal RNA is filed under the name Paenibacillus sp. HGH0038. Its description in RNAcentral is "bacterial SSU rRNA". It matches the Rfam family "Bacterial small subunit ribosomal RNA", at positions 104 to 629 of the family's 1533-position model. The record is from RNAcentral. Lineage: Bacteria; Bacillati; Bacillota; Bacilli; Caryophanales; Paenibacillaceae.
GGGUGAGUAACACGUAGGCAACCUGCCUGUAAGAUCGGGAUAACUACCGGAAACGGUAGCUAAGACCGGAUAAUCGGUAUCUCCGCAUGGAGAGAUCGUGAAACACGGAGCAAUCUGUGGCUUACGGAUGGGCCUGCGGCGCAUUAGCUAGUUGGUGAGGUAACGGCUCACCAAGGCGACGAUGCGUAGCCGACCUGAGAGGGUGAACGGCCACACUGGGACUGAGACACGGCCCAGACUCCUACGGGAGGCAGCAGUAGGGAAUCUUCCGCAAUGGACGCAAGUCUGACGGAGCAACGCCGCGUGAGUGAUGAAGGUUUUCGGAUCGUAAAGCUCUGUUGCCAGGGAAGAACGCCAAGGAGAGUAACUGCUCUUUGGGUGACGGUACCUGAGAAGAAAGCCCCGGCUAACUACGUGCCAGCAGCCGCGGUAAUACGUAGGGGGCAAGCGUUGUCCGGAAUUAUUGGGCGUAAAGCGCGCGCAGGCGGUUUUUUAAGUCUGGUGUUUAAUCCCGAGGCUCAACCUCGGUUCGCACCGG